Molecule: ribosomal RNA, 429 nt
Filed under: Bacillota bacterium
Lineage: Bacteria; Bacillati; Bacillota
Description: Firmicutes bacterium partial 16S ribosomal RNA
Rfam family: Bacterial small subunit ribosomal RNA
Source: RNAcentral
UGGGGAAUUUUGGACAAUGGGGGCAACCCUGAUCCAGCAAUGCCGCGUGUGUGAAGAAGGCCUUCGGGUUGUAAAGCACUUUUGUCCGGGAAGAAAUCGCACCUGAUAAUACCGGGUGUGGAUGACGGUACCGGAAGAAUAAGGACCGGCUAACUACGUGCCAGCAGCCGCGGUAAUACGUAGGGUCCAAGCGUUAAUCGGAAUUACUGGGCGUAAAGCGUGCGCAGGCGGUUGUGCAAGACCGAUGUGAAAUCCCCGGGCUUAACCUGGGAAUUGCAUUGGUGACUGCACGGCUAUAGUGUGUCAGAGGGGGGUAGAAUUCCACGUGUAGCAGUGAAAUGCGUAGAGAUGUGGAGGAAUACCGAUGGCGAAGGCAGCCCCCUGGGAUAACACUGACGCUCAUGCACGAAAGCGUGGGGAGCAAACAGG